GACGAACGCUUUCCUCGUGCCUCCUCCCUGCACGUUGAGCGCUGAAGCUUGGUGCUUGCACCAAUUUGAAGAGCAGCGAACGGGUGAGUAACGCGUGGGGAAUCUGCCUUUGAGCGGGGGACAACAUUUGGAAACGAAUGCUAAUACCGCAUAACAACUUUAAACAUAAGUUUUAAGUUUGAAAGAUGCAAUUGCAUCACUCAAAGAUGAUCCCGCGUUGUAUUAGCUAGUUGGUGAGGUAAAGGCGCACCAAAGCGAUGAUACAUAGCCGACCUGAGAGGGUGAGCGGCCACAUUGGGACUGAGACACGGCCCAAACUACUACGGGAGGCAGCAGGAGGGAAUCUUCGGCAAUGGACGAAAGUCUGACCGAGCAACGCCGCGUGAGUGAAGAAGGUUUUCGGAUCGGAAAACUCUGUUGGUAGAGAAGAACGUUGGUGGGAGUGGAAAGCUCAUCAAGUGACGGUAACUACCCAGAAAGGGACGGCUAACUACGUG
RNAcentral lists this ribosomal RNA (497 nucleotides) under uncultured bacterium. RNAcentral describes it as "partial 16S ribosomal RNA". It matches the Rfam family "Bacterial small subunit ribosomal RNA", at positions 28 to 507 of the family's 1533-position model. The record is from RNAcentral.